GAUGAACGCUGACAGAAUGCUUAACACAUGCAAGUCUUUGGCGAAGCUGUGCUCGCACAGCCUAGCCAAGGCGGACGGGUGAGUAACGCGUAAGGAACUUGCCCUGCAGUCAGGGAUAACAGACGGAAACGACUGAUAAGACCUGGUAAAGUCAGGCGGACCCAUGUCCAGCCUGAUGAAAAGAGAUGCUGCAGGAGAGCCUUGCGUCCUAUUAGCGAGUUGGUUGGGUAACGGCCCACCAAGGGGGUGAUAGGUAGCCGACCAGGGAGGGGGAGCGGCCACACUGGAGGGGAGACACGGCCCAGAGGCCUACGGGAGGCAGCAGUAGGGAAUCUGGCGGGAGGGGGGGAAGCAUGACGGAGCAGGGCCGCGUGAGUGAUGAAGAUCUUCGGAUCGUAAAACAAUGUUUUUAGGGAAGAAAAAAUGUGUAAGUAGAAAAGAAAAAAUUGACGGUACCUAAACAGAAAGCCACGGCUAACUACGUG
RNAcentral lists this ribosomal RNA (485 nucleotides) under uncultured bacterium. Its description in RNAcentral is "partial 16S ribosomal RNA". It matches the Rfam family "Bacterial small subunit ribosomal RNA", at positions 28 to 507 of the family's 1533-position model. The record is from RNAcentral.